AUAAAAUCUCAAUCUUAUCAAAAGUACUUGACACAAACGUGAAAGUUUUUUUAAAACCGCCUAUCCACUUAACCCAUUUCACUCAAAUCGCCCACGAACUGCCUUCAGUACUCCCGUUUGUUUCUUUGGUCUUCAUUUCUCUGCAACAAGUCGAUCGAGUUGCUCUUCAUUUCUCUGCAACAAGUCGAUCGAGAAGAAUUUCAUUUUACGAGGGAGUUCUUCAAAAGGGUUGAAGAGUGAAAUUUUUUGUAGAGUUCCAGACUGUACUUCAAGCUAUUUUUUUCUGUAUUUCUUCACUACUGCACCACUAUGUUCUAUAAUCCCAUUUUCUCUCAUUUUUAUAUUGUUGGUUACUUUUCAUUUCUCUGUAACCAGUGGAGAAGAAGGUCUUUCAUCGGAGUUCAAAGAGUGGAAGAUUUUUCAAUCUACCGAAGUGUACUUUGAGAAGAAGGUCUUGCAUCGGAGGUCAGAGAGUGGAAGAUUUUUCAAUCUAUCCGAGUGUACUUUGAGGUUUGCAUACAUGACACCAAAGAGUAGGAAGAAGCGAAAGGCAGAUAGCGAGAACGUGGAGAUCAGUCCAAAGAAGGACAAUGUUGUUGCAUGGCAGAAAUAUCCUAUUCUUCUUUUUAUGCAUUGCUUUUAAUGGAUAAACCUAUAUUGUAAAAUUAAAAAUUUAAUUUGCUAACUCACUUUUAUUUAUGCAGCAAAGCACAUUAUAAAGAUUAUUGGGCUGCACACAAGGAGAUGACUAAGAAAGAGAUUGGCAAAGGAGAAUUUGAAGAAAGAAUUUAAGGCAAUGCCAGUGGACGAGAAAGCAUAGUGGAGUGGGGUUGAUCCCAUAUAGGAGGAAGAAUUAAGUAAAAAGGAUAUGGGUCCUAUGGAGAAGAAUGUGAAAGGUGGGGAGGAGAAAGAUAAAUAGUCUGAAGUGGGUGAGGAGGAGGAUACGUUGGAGGCGGAUGAGUCGCAUCGAGUUUCUGGAAAAAUGCCCAUUUGAAAGGCUAUCGCGCAUUGUAAAGUUAUUGAGCCUAGAGCAGAAGGAAGUUGCUCUCAAUGCCGGUUUUGACACAUUCAUAAGGGAGGAGGGCCCUUACAUUGACACACGGAUAGUCAGCUAUCUCAUUGAGCACAUUGACCCUUCCACAAGCAGAUUGGAUUUGUUUGGCAUGUCCAUCCAGUUGUCUUCCCGACUCUUCUCCAAUGUUAUGACCGUAAAAUAUGGUGGGGAACAUGUGGUAAUUGAGAGUGAGAGACAUUUCAAAGCUUGAGGAGCUAUUGGGGGCAGGAAGGUACACGAUAUCAGUGACUGCUUUGGAGAAGGACUUGAAAGAGUCCACCAAACCUGAUGCACUCUUCCUUAUAAAGUUUGCACUCAUUGCCAUCGUGUUCAUUCUAUGCCCGAAGACUGGCACUGACGUAUGCACCAAUUACCUUCACUCCCUGAUAGAGACAAGUGGCAUUUCAAAAAAGAACUCGGCGUCUGUGGGCUUUUGAUACCUAAAGAACUCAUUAUUUAAGUAUUAGACUCACCAUACAAAUAAUGUUAGUGGUUGCACAAUUUUCUUGCAGGUGAGCUAAUUCGUAGUUGUGUAUUUUUUUCUAGUUGGUUUAGCAAUGGGCUUGAUGCUUUGUUCCUUUAUCAGCUUAUAUAUCUGAUGCAUUGGACUGGAAUAAUAGUUUUGUAGACCGCACCGUGGGUCCAAUCGACUUUUGGAAUGCCAAGCAAUGCAAGGUUGUUUACCACUGGAUCUGCGACCAUGGCAGUCAUUUGAGUGAAUUGGUACGUACGUUUCCUAUUGAGUUUUGGUAUGUUUUGUAUUGAUAUGGUUGGAUUAUGUGAAUGAUAAUCUAAAAUUAAAAUUAAUGUAUAGAUCAAGUGUGACGUCUCGUGUUUUGAACACACGUUAAUAGACGGUUCGAGUCGGUGAAGAAUUAUGUGGAAUAUUAUUUUGAUAAAUGAUAUUAUAUGAAAUUGUGUUAUUUCAUGAUUUUUAUAGCUGCUGUGAUGAUCUGGUAAAUGGUCUAGGCUUAUGCAAAGAAAGAUUGGUCUUGGACCAAGGGGUAAACCCUAAUGGUAGAAAAAUCUCAGUUUUAAAUAAAAUGGGGGACUACUAUGGCAUAAAAAUAUUUUUUGCAACUGAGACUUUAUAGUCGGGCCAAUAAAUAUUAAGAGAAUGAUUGAGGUUUGAAUUCCAAUCAACUAGGCUUAAGAAUAAUUUUUUUUUUGCUCGGGCCUCUAAUGGCAUUUUGGUCAAUAUGUGAUAAUUGCCAAAAUUAUGUGAUAUUGUGACAAAUUUUAUUUUUUUUGUCACAAAUUAAUGUAUUUAAUUAUGCUUGGAGAUUUAAAAACUAUAGGUUAAAAGUUUAGGGAAAUUUAGAGCACAAAAUUACCAAAGGGCCCUUGAGUUCUUUAGGUGUGGGGUAAAAUAAGUAAGGGCAUAAAGGUAAAUUUCAAGGGCAGAGAGAGAGAGAGAGAGAGAGAAAAAGAGAGAUAGGCGGCAAGGCUUGGGGGUAGACCCUAGUACUCUCAUGAGCUAGGUAACAUACCCCAAAGAGCCAAGAAUAUGAAGAGUUUCACCCUAUUCACAAGUUAAGAGCUUAAUCAUUUUGUUUUUCUCUCAAACACUUCCUCUCCAUCACUCUCUCCCCAAAUCCAAAACCCUCUAUAUCCCUAACCUCCAUUGCUGCAACAAACUCCUUUCUUAGCAAGCUACACUCAUCUUCUCCAUUGGAGAAGGAAGAAGUUCAAGAAGAAAUCCUUGUGUAGUGUAAGUAUAAACCUCCUUGUGCAUUUUCUUCUCUUUCCCUUCAAACCUGAAACCCUAGAGGGUUUCCUUAUGCCUGCAUGUAAUUUAAUAGCCAUGCAUGGCAUUGAUCUUAUAUUUUAGGGUUCAAGAGAAGCUUUCACUAGUUGGAUCUCAAAGAUUGAGCACCUUUGUGAUCAAAUAAGGCAAGGUAAGAGGUUUCUGUAAGUUUGCAUGUUCUUGUCCCUCAUCUAAGUUCUUCCUACCCUAAUCAUUUCUUAAAAAAAUCAGCAUGUGGGACUUGGGGCUUGGUUUUGAGAGUGUAGAGCACAAAGGGAAGUUUUUGAAGAGCCAGGGAAUACCUCUCCAAGAUAGAGCUUCAAAAGGUAGAAAUCUAUCGUUGUUUAUUUGAGUUUUGUGAUGAUUUUUGUAGAUCUGGUUGUAUAGGGUGUUUCAAUAGUUUUUGGAGUCUAUUUUAUGCCUAAGGUUGAGACUGCGUGAUAUGAUGAAUUGAAUGUAUGCAUGGGGCUAGGGUUUAUGCUAGAAAUGCUUGUUGUGGUUAAGUGUGAGUAAAAAUGAAUGAUGCCAAAAUUCCUGGUCUGAUUUCCAAUGGGUCAGAUCGCACCCUACUGCCUAUAUUUGUGAAAAUAAUUUAUGUAGUUGUGAAGUUCUUUGAGUGUAUUUGAUGUUAGGAUUUGGAA
Humulus lupulus (European hop) is the source of this 3442-nucleotide long non-coding RNA. RefSeq lists it as uncharacterized. The transcript has 4 exons. The record is from RefSeq and is a predicted model, not a curated record. Lineage: Eukaryota; Viridiplantae; Streptophyta; Magnoliopsida; Rosales; Cannabaceae.